GGGGGCGUAAAGGUUUCGACGGGGAUUUUGAAGUAUUCGGAGCGAGCCGCAGUGGGUACUGCGUAAAAAACCCAACCUUAAAUUAAACGCUAACAAAAAUUUAGCUUACGCUGCCUAAAUAAAGGCGGCUGUCCUCUCGCCCUCACCGCAAGGGCGAGUCGGGGCAUCAUCUGACGCGGUGCACAUGAACCCCAAAAGCUUUGAUGGGGUCACGACUUUAUGAAGCUACCGGUCGUUAAAGCUUGUCUGUGGACUUUAACGACGGGGACUCCUGACCACUGACUACGCUCGUAGCGCCGGGUAUGAAUAGGUUUUCGGACAGGGGUUCAAUUCCCCUCGCCUCCACCA
RNAcentral lists this transfer-messenger RNA (348 nucleotides) under Oscillospiraceae bacterium. It matches the Rfam family "transfer-messenger RNA". From Rfam's summary of the family: Bacterial tmRNA, also known as 10Sa RNA or SsrA, is named for its dual tRNA and mRNA-like properties. Its role is to liberate the mRNA from a stalled ribosome. To accomplish this part of the tmRNA is used as a reading frame that ends in a translation stop signal. The record is from RNAcentral. Lineage: Bacteria; Bacillati; Bacillota; Clostridia; Eubacteriales; Oscillospiraceae. RNAcentral also lists the same sequence under 1 other name.